AUGUUGCUAUGGGCAUCAGAUGCCAACCAUUGUACUAUAGGGCAUAGGCAUAUUAUUUGAACCACUUAAUAGUUUUAUCAGGCUUCAAAAGCCUCAGCUUGGAAUGGUAGUAUAUAUCCAUAUACCUGGCUCAAUGGGCUUGCAGUACCAUAUAAAUGGGAAUUACAGCCGUACAUGGACUGAGUGUGUUGUGUAAUAAAAAAGUACUCCGCAUGUUAUGCGUUGGAGUCUCUAAUUAACUAUGGCCUUGUUUAGAUGCAUCCAAAACUUUACAAGAUUUCCCAUUACAUCGAAUUUUAUGGCACUUGCAUGGAACAUUAAAUAUAGAUAAAAAAGAUAACUAAUUGUACAGUUUACCUGUAAAUCACGAUACAAAUCUUCUAAGUCUAGUUACUCUAUGAUUGGAUAACGUUUGUCAAAUAAAAACGAAAUUGCUAUAGUGUCAAAAUUUAAAAAGUUUUUGGAUCUAAACAAGACCAUGUAUAACUUGAAUUCUAUGUUUGUUUUUGGAGAUCCAUUACAGUAGUCGCUGCUGCCGCCACCUUUGCUGCAUCGCCUGUCAUGUAUAGCAGUGGCUAAAGAUGAGGCAGAAUCGAUUGGACUUCAUCUUGGGAGUGCUUAUGAGGCCAGUCUCAGUUAUCCGUUUCAAUACACUGUUUCCAAAACAAAUCCGCUGAUAGGACAUCAAUAAAACGAAUAAUGAAACAACCUCCACAAUGCAUGAGUUUCACCUUGACGUUUCCUAGGCUGGGCAAAGCAUUUAAUUACUGCAAAAUGAUUAGAUCACAUGCAAGAUGGUGAAACGAUUUAGCCCUCAGUGGGUAUUUCAUCCCGUUUCACCGCGUGGGAAACAACGCCCACGGAGUUUCACCAUGGUGAAAUUACUUCCUUCUCUCUCCUCAUCAUUUCAUGCAAAAAGUAUAGUUUUGCUGAUACGACGCUCUAAUAAAUAUGCAUGACAUCCUGAUGAAACCCCUACUGAGACUGGCUUGAUAGUUGUUUACACUAGAGUUGUUUGUAUAUAAUGUACUUAAUCUGGAUGUAAUUGGCUUGUAUAUAGCGCUUCUAAAUCGAAAAUACUACUGGAAACAAUUUCAGUCUUAUUAGCAUUUUAUUUUGAAUGUGCGUAUCGAAUUCAGAGACCAAAUUACAAAUCAGUAUGUACAGAUUGUGUGGCCUACCUCUGAAAAACAGCUUGUCUCUGUCAGUGUGUCCCAACAUACAAGUUAAGCUUGAUCGGCCCUGUCUUUGUCACAGACUGAGCUUCCUGUGUAUUGUGUAUUGCUACGACAGUGUCAAUAGGACACAAAUCUGUGUUUCAGGCCUCAAAAAGUAGUUUUCGCCUGAUAGUGUUGGCAUAUGAAAGCCAUAUGGUUUUAGGACGAUGGCACUGCACCAGUAGAUGAAUCCGUUUGAGUUAGGUCAUAAUUUGUUUUCAGAGUAUGAACGGUAACUAUUGGUUUAUAUCACAUUUAGUGUGCCAGUGUGUUCUAGUAUCUAAUCCGUGAUGCUUGUGGCUUUUUUUUCAACCAGACAAAAAAGAUUCUAGUAGUGACCUCUAGGUCACUUGUUCUUUCAGGGCUUUUAAUAUACUACUUCUGUCCCUGAAAUCUUCAACUUCUGAGUUGUCUUAAGGUCUUGUUUAGUUCCGAAAUUUAUUAGUACGGUGUCUAUUAGAAUCAAAAAGCGUAAGGAUAGGAGCAUGGUCAUUGCGAAGCAUUGGAAGAUGAUAUAUAGUUGUCCGAGGAUAAGCCAUACAUCAUUCCACGUUGGUAGGACAACGAUCAAGAUGUUUGAAAGUUGGAGCAGAGUUGAAUCUCUUAUUGGUCCAUGUGUACGUCGGUCUACUAUAUCCAAGAUCAAUAAAACCACCUUGUUUGACAAAAUCACACAAAACAUUAAUGCGCCUACGAUCAGGUCUACUAGGACCUGAUUUUUCAUUGCGGUGCAUAAUAUCAUUCAUAUCUCCCAUAGAUAACAUAGGCAAGGUGCUAUGACUUACAACAAAAUCCAGCACACACCCAUAUGGUGGUAGUGUUAAUGUGAUGAGAGUCACCAUAAAUACAAACUAGCCCAAAUUGUUUCUGGUCUAGAUUAUUACCACACAGGGCAAAAAUAUAGUUCUAAGACUGAUCAACUAUAGUGAGACUAACAUCCUACUUCCAGAUUAACCAAAGGCCGUCAGAUUGGCCUUGAGCAGGGACUACCGACGCAUCUAUGGCAUUAAAACGAUUAAUUAAAGAAGUACAAGAAAUAGAGGAAAUUCUAGUUUAAGAAAUAAAACAUACUUAUGACUUAGUAGAGGUAAUUAGGUGGGCAAGAUAUGUCAUCUUAGAAUUGCUCAGGGAUCCGCCCGAUCCCCGGCAGUUCCACGCCAGGAGUGUCAUGGCGUCCGCGGUGCCUAUGCGGCUAGUGCUGGAGCCUUUUGAAGAUUGAGGUCAAUAACAAGCUGAGUAGGGCUGCGAGCUGUACCCCUACUUUUACUAGCAUCAUCACUUCAUAGAUAAGCUGUAGAGUGGGGUUCGCCGUGGGGGAGAGCAUGAUGUUUUUCGUCACCCAGAUCUAGUUCCUCGAGAGGAAGCUGGCGAUGAUCAGGAACAUGAGUCGUAGCCAUAGUGUCGGUGCCGUGGGGUGACGUAUGGCAAGGAUGCAUUGAAGUGAGCGAUUGAUGUUGCUGUGAUGCAGUGAUGGCGUGGUGGUAUGGCUUAUUGGUGAUGGGGGUUGAGGCCGAGGUGGAGAGGUGGGUAUGGGGGUUGAAACCGUUGGUGGAUAAGGAAGCUUGGAGGGCGCAUCUUGGUUGGGUGGCUUAGGCUCCAUGGUGAGGGGGACCGGCAUGGAAGUAUAGUCACUUGCCAUGGUGGAAAGGGAUAGAAGAAGACAUAGAAAGGGGAGUACAAAGGUGAAUAACGCGGGCUCAUGAGUAAGAUAUAGCAUACCUCCUUCAAAUCUAGAUCUCAGGCUAUUGACUGCCACCGGUUGAAGCUGUAGACAGCCUGAACUGCAUGAUAGGGAGAUUGGGAGGAGAUUUGGCGCAUGAGAUUAGGACUAGGGGAAGCAGCUUCCGCCACUGCACAGGUCCUAUCGUGUGGUGCCCACUGAGAGAAUCAGCAGAAGGAGCCAGAACCGCUCAGAUCGGAUGUGGAUUGGCACACAAGAUGAUGAUCGAAAGCAGUGAUGAAGCCAGCAGGGGGGGCUAGGGGGGCUCCAGCUCCCCCUACCGCUGCUGGUUCAGGAGAAUUUUUAGUGCUCUCCUUCUAAUUUUAGACACAAAUUUAUAAGGUAGGGUGGGCUGAACAUUUUAUUUUUUAGAUAUAUUUUGUGAAUUUCAUUAUUAAUCUAUAUUUACGAGGAGUAAUAGUAGAGCUAAGUUAAUGUAGAACUUUUGUUCAGCCCCUCCUAAAUUUUUUUCUGGCUUCGUCCCUAAUCUAAAGGAUUGGGAUGGAUUAUAGCAAGGGGAAUCAAGGAUUUAGGGGGGAUUGAGUGGUAGGAAGGUAACUCAUGGCAUAACGACCAAUACUACUCAGAGCUCUUGUGGUCUAGUUCACAACCCAACCUAACAUAAAUCAUUACGGGGAGAAAAUAGUACCUAUAUAGAAUAUAAGUACAAUCAGCAGUGACUGUACACAGAUAGGAAUAUAUAUUGAUUUGAAAUGAACAAAUUAUAAUGUUUCUUUUUUUAGAACACACUCUGCAUCAAAUCUGACAAAAUAGAAGUCAGUAGUGGCAGCACUACAGGCUCUGUCAGAAACUAAGCGAGGGUGCAAGCUUCAUGCAUUUCGGAGUGAUCAAGGAGGAGAGUUUAACUCCAUUGAGUUCAAGCAGUACUAUGAUGAGUAUGGAGUCAAACAUUUCACCACAACUUCAUAUACACCAUAGCAAAAUAGCAUUGUCGAGCGAUAGAAACGCACUGUGGUGGAAAUAGCAAGAUGCCUGUUAAAGAGCAAGAGUGUCCUUGUGAGUUUUGGGGAGAAGUGGUGUCAACUGCAGUCUAUUUACUAAACCGAGCCCCAACAAAGAGCCUGCAAGAGAAAACUCCAUUUGAAAUAUGGCACAACCGCAAGCCCAAAGUACAUUAUCUUUGCAUGUUUGGUUGCAUUGCCUAUGUGAAGAUAGUUGGGCCUGGUAACUAAAUGGUGUUUGUCAGCUAUAAAGCAGGAACUAAGGGUUAUGAUGCCUAGCCUUGCUGAUGUGGCAUAGUUUGGCGCCACGAAACAUGACGCUGACCUCAGUACUAAUGUCAGACGCUGUCCUCGCCAUCCUCAGCUUGCUUUCGAAGUUGCAUGUCGUCUCAUUAUACCUACGCCUUGUUUAGUUUCAAUUUUUUUUCCAAAACAGACACCGUAACACUUUGGUUUGUAUUUCACAAAUAUUGUCCAAUCAUGGAUUAACUAGACUCAAAAGAUUCAUCUUGUAUAUUAUAGGUGAACUGUGUAAUUAUUAUUUUUAUCUAUAUUUAAUGCUCCAUGCAUGCGUCUACAGAUUUGAUGUGACGGAAAAUCUGAAAAAUUUUGCAAAACUUUCUAGGAACUAAACAAGGCCCUAAUGUGCUGUAGUGCAUGUGAGAGGGCGGUAUGAGCGCAUAGAAAGUUGUGUUUUUUUGGUCUCGAUGAAAAUAUGUUGACAGGGCCUUGUAUAGUUAAGCUUUUUCGAUUAGUAUUUUUAUUUUAUUUGAUAACUAAUGUCCAAUCAUAAACGUUUAAAAGAUUCAUCUAGUAAAUUAUAGGCAAACUAUGCAAUUAGUUAUUUUUUAAUUUAUAUUUAAUACUUUGUAUAUGUGUUUAAAAAAUCAAUGUGACGAGGCGAAAAGAAAAAUUUUGGAAUGCGAGGCAAGUUUGUUGCCGAUUUUUUUUAAAGGGGCGGUGGAAUUUUCACAAGAGAUGAAGAGACUUUUUACUGUAAAUAAAAAGAUAAUACCGUGUGAUUGAUUUUUCUAUGCCUGGGUCCGUUGGUUGAUCAAAUUUUUUUAAGUACUGAAAUUACAAAUUGCCUCUAUAGAAAAUGUAAUGAACAAAAUCUUCUAUUUUGAUAUAAAAUAUAUGCAAUAAUAGUCGCCUGAAAUGACCUUGGUCAUGUGUUGCAACUAGAAAAAAAUACUCAUGUGUUGCUACUGCAAAAAGUAAUAUCAUAAUAAUUUAAAUUUCAACAUGUGUUGUACUGUAAACACAUAUUUUCAACAUGUGUUAGUUCGUGAUUUUUUUACUUUGGCUACUACUGUACUAUUUUCGUUUAAAUUUGGUAAUUAUUAUCUAACUAUAGACUAACUAGGCUCAAAAGAUACGUCUCGUAAAUUACAGAUAAAUUAUACCAUUAAUUAUUUUUAUUUAUAUUUAAAUAUUCCAUGCAUGCAUCUAAAGAUUUGAUGUGAUGGAAAUCUAGAAAUGGCUACACCGAUGCCCACGAGACGCGAGGCUUGCCUGGCCGCAUGAGGCCCUUGGCUGAGCUGUACUUCCUCCGUAUAGAAUUUAGAUGUUGUUUAGGGCAGCGAUACAUCUCCGAAAGACAACUUUGACCUCUUAUUUUUAUAAAAAUAUUUAGAAAAAAAUAAUAUAUGUAUACUUUUAUGAAAGUAUUUUUCAAGAUAAAUCUAUUCAUAAAAUUUUUACAUUUGCAAACUCAACAAUUUAAAAGUUAUUGAUGAUUUAUAUCCCAACGUACGAAGGGAGUACUUGUAUAUUUCAACUUUUAUGUAUGAAGAAAUCAAUUUUUUAGUUUUUGUGGCAACACACAAAAUUAAUUACUCGCUCCAUUCUAAAUUAUAAGUCAUAAGUCAUUUCAAAAAUUUUGGAGAUUUAAAGUAUCUCAAGUUUAACCAAAAGUAUAAAGAAAAUAUAAAAAUUUAUGACAUUAAAUAGGUACAAUAUGACGAAAUUUAUGAUGCCAACUAAGUAUCAAUGUAUGAGUAGAUUUUUUAUUAAUUAUAUCUUUGUAUUAUACCUAUUUGAUGUCAUAAAUUUUUAUAGUUUUCUCUAUAAAUUUACUAAAUCUUGAGAAGCUCUGUCUCUCUAAAAUUUUUGAAACGACUUAUAGUUUAGGAAGGAUUAAGUACCUAAUAUACUUUCAAGUCUAAAAUGUCAUUUUACUUUAUAUAUGCGUUGUUAAAAAAUCCUAAAAAUAUCUAAACCAUUGUAUUAAUAUAUCGCGCCGUUCUCAAUUCUCCAUAUCAGGGUUUGUUUAGUUGGUGAAAAAAUUUAGUAUUAGCUACUGUAGCACUUUCAUUUGUAUUUGAUAAUUAUUAUCUAAUUAUAGACUAACUAGAUUUAAAAAAUUGGUCUCACAAAUUACAAACAAACUGAGUAAUUAUUUUUUAUCUAUGUUUAAUAUUUCGUGUAUGCGCCAACGAUUUACUGUGACAGAGAAUUUUGAAAAUUUUUGGGAUUUUAGGUAAAGUAAACAGGUCUCAAUAUGCCAUACGAUGAUUAUUGUUUAUAUGGGUUACACAUGCACCCAUUUAUUUUUUUUGUAAAAAAAGGACUCAAAGGGUAAAGACGGUAAUGAGGAAAAAAAAACCCCCCGCUCUCCUUCUUCCCCUUCCCGCUGACACCAGCUGGCGCGUGCGUGAAGGAUACGCCAACGCCGCAAACCGACCACUCCAUCUUCCCGGGCAAUAAAACCCCAGUAACUCAUCGGCGUCUCCUCCCCCGCUUCCCAGAGCAAUCCAUCCCCAGAGUUCUGGAAUCCCACUUCCUGAUCUCCAUCUCCCAGCAUCUCCGCGCGCGCCCCAUCGCGAUCUCGGCUCCGCGGCUGCCUCGAUCGAUUCCCCCAAGGCCGCAGGUGCUCCCCAUCCUCCCUCCUCGCUCGAUCCGCACUCCUCUCGACUCGUCGCCCCUUCGGAUCCCGUUGCGAUGCUGAGCCUGCCUCCUCCGGCCCCACCCGCGGCGGCGGCGGUGGCGGUGGCGGCGGCGGCGGCGGCGGCGGCGGCGGAUGAGAAGCGUCCCUCGCCGCCGAUGAAGGCGAAGCUGCUUUUUCCGUACGCCGUGUCCUGCGUGUUCGGCGGCAUGCGCCGCGCCUGGGGCAUGGCUCUCGUCGGGCUCCACGCCUUGACCCGUGUCGUCAAGGUCGUCUCCUUCACGACAGACGCAGAGGAGGUUCGCUUCUUGGUACCGAUCUUCCACGGCUGGGUGUACCUCGGCAUCGCCGCCGUGGUGCUCGUGACGUGCGUGGACAUCAUCUACUACACGGUGAGUCUGCUCUUUCCAUACGCUGUGUCCUGUGUGGUCAGCGGCAGAGGCCGGCCCAGGGGCAUGGCUAUGAUCAGCCUCCACAUUGUGCUCAGCAUCGUCAAGGUCCUCUCUUUCACCACAGACCCUGAGGUGGCCCGCUUCUUGACACUAAUCUUCCGUGUGUGGGUCUACUUUGGCAUCACUGCCAUGGUCCUCAUGACGUGCGUGGACAUCGGUCACUACUUGUAUGGUUUGUACACCUUGAUGUUCCAUCCGUCACAGCAGCAGCUGGCAGCGGCAGAGGUGCUGCUCCCGCCUCCACCUCCGGAGAUGGACAUGUGCUAAAUUUGGUCGGUGGGUUCGGUAUGUCUUUGAUUGCUGGCGUCAGGUGCGUUUUCUAACCCGUUCUUCAGUCUCUGUUUUAGUUGCUUACUUACAGGUGUUGCUGCUCUCCUUGCUCAAGGUACAUGCCCUUCCCUUCUCAGCCCUAUCUUCGGUUCAGCACUUUUAAUGCACAUAUUGCUUAACUAUACAGCUACAAGUAUCUGAAACAUUAAGUUUUGAAACAGAAAACAUCUUGAUUUUAGGUUCCAUAUAUAUAGUGUAGUUGUCUGUGGCCCAUAUGAUUUGGUGCAGAUUUCGCUGCUUGUGCUAGACAUUCUGUUUUCAAUUUGUUUAGGCACCACUAGAAAUUGUAAGAUGCUUCAGGUGCUUCCUGUUUAAUAGCUAUUAAAUGGUAUGUUUUUUUCAAGUUUAUGCUCAAUCUAUCUUUUAUAAAACAACUUAUCCACAAUGUGUUCAUACUUCAGUAGUUGCAUUGUGGGAGCACUCCAGUGGAUAGAAAUUUGUUACUUAUUGUUCUAGUAUGCUUUUCCUUGUUUAUUACUCUCUGUAUUUUGUGUUAUUUGUGAUAAACAGGCUUUGUGAGGAAAGGAUCAAUGAGAAGGACCAGUCGUGCUGAAAAGAUUUGCUUUGUCUUGCCUACCUGCCGAAGUAAAGAUAGAGGACAAAUGGUGGCAAACAUCAGUAAAAGCACAUCACUUGACGGAGCUGAACGUGACCAUCACAGAAAAAGUGGAGUAAAAGAGCAACCUGUUGAGUGCCAAAAUGCGAUCGCGCUAAAUCAGGACAGAACAUGUAGAGCUAGAAAAUACUGCAAACCAAGUGGGAGAAGACCCAAGUUCGAAGUUUUAACUGCAAUAGCUAUAUUUCAUAGUUUGUUUAGUAUCUUUAUUAGGAAAGAUUUUGAAUAAGAUAUGGUUUUUUAUGUCUCUAAUAGAAUUUCAGUUGCCAUUGUCUGUCCUGGAGUAGUGCUAUAAAUAAAUUUGUUUGGUUUCACAUUGUCUCUUGCUACAUGGGUUUCUUCUGUUUUCUGUUUUGUUUCUGCUGGGUUUUUGUCACUCCUGGUCACCCAAGUGUGACCUCUGUAGUAUAUGCACAAAAAUAUUACUAGUGUUGAAAAAGGUCUGAAAUUUUUUAAAUAUAAAUGGUCCAGAACAAUGGUUUGUAUAUAUAGCUUAGUUACAUGAUUUUUAGUAUAUCUGACUGUACUGUGAAAAUGGGACAAUAGACAACUAGCAUCUAGUACUUCCGUUGCACGCUGAUUGGGAAGUCUAAUUGGAUUCUGGUGGUUGGCCUGACUGGUGUUGGGUCUCACACAGAGGCCAUAGGCGACAUGUGCCAAUGGCUGUGAGAUCCCUUUCUGCAAAAUGGAACUGCUAAAGGAUUUUGUUUUCCCUUUUUGUGCGCAUAAUAAAAAAAUGAUAGAAACUGACUAUUAAUACUGUUGUACUGUGUCACACUAAUUCUGUUUUAUGUUUUGGAAUUAGCUAGUCACUUGAUAUAUGUCAAAACUGCUAAUCUGAUAGUAUUUUCUUGUUAGUGAUGUUGAUAGCUAAUCUAACAUUUUGUUUGUGUGACCUAAACCCUAAACCCUAAGACAGCCUUCACCAACUACAACUGGAAGACAGAUGCUCAAUCUUAUACAUUGUGCACAUAGCAUUGAUGAAAUACAGAGGCUAGAUUGUUUGCUAAGACAGCCUGAAUCCUAUGAUGCAGAUUCAUUUUCUUAGUAGAUUGCUCCCCUUUUAUGGGAAAGCUGAUGAUUUCAAUGUCGCUAUGGGCAUCAGAUGCCAACCAUUGUACUAUAGGGCAUAGGCAUAUUAUAUGAUCCACUUAAUAGUUUUAUCAGGCUUAAAAAGCCUCAGCUUGGAAUGGUAGUAUAUAUAUGCAUAUACCUGGCUCAAUGGGCUUGCAGUUGCAGUACCAUGUAAAUGGGAACUACAGCCGUACAUGGACUGAGUGUGUUGUGUAAUAAAAAAGUACUCCACAUGUGCGUUGGAGUCUCUAAUUAACUAUGUGUAUAACUUGAAUUCUAUGUUUGUUUUAGGAGAUCCAUUAUAGCAGUCGCUGCUACCGCCGCCUUUGCGAUUGGACUUGCAUCUUGGGAGUGCUUAUGAUAGCUGUUUACACUAGAGUUGGUUGUAUAUAAUGUACUUAAUCUUUAUGUAAUUGGCUCGUAUAUAGCACUUCUAAAUAGUAAAUACUACUGGAAAAUUUCAGUCUUAUUAGCAUUUUAUUUUGAAUGUGCGUAUCGAAUUCAAUUGCCAAAUUACAAUUCAGUUUGUACAGAUUAUGUG
RNAcentral lists this long non-coding RNA (9799 nucleotides) under Sorghum bicolor (sorghum). RNAcentral's name for it is "long non-coding RNA (SBIC_LNC008005)". Lineage: Eukaryota; Viridiplantae; Streptophyta; Magnoliopsida; Poales; Poaceae. The record is from RNAcentral.